GGGCGACCGGCAACCUAUCAGAGGCGGCCGAAGACCUUCGCGGUUGCGGGUGACGUUUCCUGUUUAUCAUUAUAGGCUACAUGACAUGGGAAAAGUAGCAAAUGUGCAAAUGUGCUAAGAUGUGUAAAGUCACCAUUUCUGCAUCUCAAGCAAAUGCAAUAGCUUUUGCAUCACUAAUGGACCAAAGGCUAAUUCUAUUUCAGAUAAGCCUCCAUUUUUUAACAAUUGGAUUAGUGAAAUGCUCUCAUGCUGCUGCUGGAAAAAAUGACAUACAUUAGGGCCAACUGACAGGAAAACACCAGAGCAACUUGGUCACCAUUCAUCAUAUUUAGUUCAUUUUCAUUGAUUCAGUUUUUCUAACACUAUUUGAAAGAGGCCAUUAGUUUAUUGGAUAUUGGUCUUACGUUACGUUGCAUGGCGCAAAUUUAGAUGUAGAGAAAGUUCAAGACUACAAGUUCUUAAUGGGGGCAUAUUGACAGUAAGCUGGACUGGUCUAAGAACUCACUGAUUGCAUGUAAUAAGAAUCAGAGUAGGCUAUUUUUCCUACGCAGACUCUAAUCAUUUAGGGUCUGCAAGACCAUGCAACGGAUGUUCUUCGACAUUGUGGUGGCCAGUGCCAUCUUCUACGCUGUGAUAUGCUGGGGGAGCAGUGUGAAGGAGGCAAACACAAAGAGGCCUAACAAAACGAUGCAGAAGGCUGGCUCUGUGGUCAGCGGGAAACUGGACACCUGGGAACCUGCCGCAGAUCGGAGAACGUUGGCCAGACUUCAGCCUGUUGAUGGAAAUGUAGAUCAGCCACUUCACAGGGAUGUGGUUGGACAAGAAGCAUCUUGAGGUGCCAGCUGACUAGCAUGAAGUGCUCCACUGAACGCCACUGAAAUCUUUCCUCCCCACAGCCAUCAGACUCUAUUACACCCAAAGUCACUCACCCAUACAAUAAGCUACUUCUCUCCUUCCCUUACUCUGUCUUUAGUCCAUCUUUUAUAUUCUACUAUGAUGUGCAACAUCUGGACUUCUGCUGCUGACUUGUACGGCUCAUACCAAAGCCCCUCCUUUGAAUGUGGAAUAUUUCAUCACUAUGUGCAAUAUUAUCAAUAUUAACGUGCAAUAUACCUCUGGCUCUGUGAGCGACUACUGUGAGAAUAUAAUGCACCUUGUCAGACACUUCUGCUAUACAGCAUUUAGCUCAUUUAAACUCACAGUGAACUAGUCAAAUAGCAAACUAGUUACGCAGUUUUACAUAGUAGUUCCCUGAAAACAGAGUAUGUAGUUUCACUCCUAAAGAGUUUAUAUGGUAGUUAAUUUGACCUUUAGUCAAUCUAUAUAUUUUAUGUUAUAUAUUUGAUUUUCGUUUGAGAUAUAUACCUUCAUUCAUUUUGUUAUACAGUGUUCAUUGUGUCUGAUGGUGUCUCCGUCCAUGUGUGCAGUUGUAGCAGAAACAAUUUCCCUCGGGGAUCAAUAAUGUUUUUCUAAUUCUGAUUCUGACUUUCCAUUCAGUUAGUAAUAAGGAUAACUAUGUGUCUAAUCGCGAGUGCCAGUUUACCUUCUGUUGCGUGUGUAAAAGUGCAAGUGAAAUGUUACAUUUGAUUACCUUUUAUGGUUACGGUUUAAUCACAGUUUGCAUCACAAUGAUAAACUCUGCGUUCCUUAAGUCACUGUCUAGUCUGAGAUGAAAAGAUUAAAAUAUUACUAUGUAUACAGUGUUUCUUUUGGUUUGAUUCAGACAUGAAUUUUCAUGCUGCUGCUCAUUUUAAGUGUAUGAAUGUAUGAAUACAUGUUGUAUUAAAGAAAAACAAAGAAA
Non-coding RNA from Paramormyrops kingsleyae, 1801 nucleotides. Lineage: Eukaryota; Metazoa; Chordata; Actinopteri; Osteoglossiformes; Mormyridae. The record is from RefSeq and is a predicted model, not a curated record.